This 253-nucleotide ribosomal RNA is filed under the name uncultured bacterium. Its description in RNAcentral is "partial 16S ribosomal RNA". It matches the Rfam family "Bacterial small subunit ribosomal RNA", at positions 524 to 776 of the family's 1533-position model. The record is from RNAcentral.
UACGUAGGGUGCGAGCGUUGUCCGGAAUUACUGGGCGUAAAGAGCUCGUAGGUGGUUUGUCGCGUUGUUCGUGAAAUCUCACGGCUUAACUGUGAGCGUGCGGGCGAUACGGGCAGACUGGAGUACUGCAGGGGAGACUGGAAUUCCUGGUGUAGCAGUGAAAUGCGCAGAUAUCAGGAGGAACACCGGUGGCGAAGGCGGGUCUCUGGGCAGUAACUGACGCUGAGGAGCGAAAGCGUGGGGAGCGAACAGG